AUGACCAGAAAGGACACAGUGACAGGAACUCUGGUGAUCUAUGACCUCAGCUUUUCAGACUCUGCUGUCUAUUACUGUGCUGCCAAAGAACACAAUUUUAGUGAAGGAGUGUUGAUUACUCAGUGGCCAAAGUACAUCUCCAGUGUUGCAGGUUCUUCAGUGGUAAUGCACUGUUAUCAAAAUGACACAAACUAUGAUUACAAAUACUGGUACAGGCAAAUAAAAGAUGAAGGACCAGUGCUGAUUGUGAGUAUAAUUGGAACCGCUACCCCUUAUGAGAAGGGUUUUGACACUGGCUUUAAAGCAUCAGGUACAGAGACAAAGAAAUGGUCUCUGGAGAUGGAUGUUAAGGAGGGAAGUGAUGCUGUGUAUCUAUGUGCUGCUAGACUACACGGUGACUGA
Paramisgurnus dabryanus is the source of this 402-nucleotide non-coding RNA. The record is from the annotation of a RefSeq genome assembly. NCBI's taxonomy places the organism in Eukaryota, Metazoa, Chordata, Actinopteri, Cypriniformes, Cobitidae.